AUGUGGGUUGCUGGGGUCUAUUGUUUUGUUUGGACCUCGCUGUCAUUGCAUGGACAAAAACAGUUUGUCAAAAUAACUUCUUUUGGAAGAAAGUCAGUCAUACAUGUUUGGAACAAAAUGAAGGUGAGAAAAUGGGUGAACAAUCUCUUUAAGAAGACUUGCUGUAAAAGUCAGUUUCACUGUCAUUUUUUCCUUACAGAAACUAUGGUUGAAAGUUCCAUUGUUACCAACACAGUACAACAAUUCGACAUUUCCCAAACAUUCAUAAACCGCAUCGCAACCUUGGGUGGUUGGAACUACAGCUCUCGACAUGUGCAGGACGUAUGUUUGAAAGAAAACUCCGGUUUGGUUUCUCCGCCACCAAGUCUCAAGGUUAUCCCACAGAACCCAGGACUGGAUCUGAGCCAGGCCAUUUUUAAUGUUUGAAAUUUGGGAUGAAAUCCAAACAAAAGAAAUACAGCCCUGGUGUAGGCCUCCUAAAGUUAUGCAAGUCUAUGAGAGUAACAGCCCAAUAAAAAAAAUAGUAGAAACUUAUGUAAAGCUCUCAUUACUGUUGCCGUGCCCAGUGAAGAGGGGAUGUGGAGCUCUUCAAAUAGGGCUGAAUGGCUGUGUGUCAUUCCAUGAAAGGAGGGCCAUUUGUGUCCACAACUUUGAAUGAAAGGCACUAAACAUUAAAAUAAGCAAUGAAAUAUUUUACCAGAUCAAAAUCACAAUAUAACAAAGUGGCGACGGAUCCUUUCUUCUGUAUUAUGCUGCACAUCCAAUGGAUUGUCAGACUAAUAUAUAUAUAUAUAUGACAAUAUAUAUGAGAGAGUAUGUCAUUUUACUGGAAGACGGGGUUGAAAUUUUGCUUAAAAAUUACAUGGUCAGAAAAAUGUAAAUAAUUUAUUUAAUGAAUAUUUCAUAAGAUCAUUAAAGGGAUAGUUCACCCAAAAAUGAAAAUUAUGUCAUUAAUGACUCACCCUCAUGUCGUUCCAAACCCGUGAGACCUCCGUUCAUCUUCGGAACACAGUAUAAGAUAUUUUAGAUUUAGUCCGAGAGCUUUCUGUUCCUCCAUUGAGAAUGUAUGUACGGUAUACUGUCCACGUCCAGAAAGGUAAUAAAAACAUCUUCAAAGUAGUCCAUGUGACAUCAGAGGGUCCGUUAGAAUUUAUUGAAGCAUCAAAAAUACAUUUUGGUCCAAAAAUAUCAAAAACUACGACUUUAUUCAGCAUUGACUUCUCUUCCGGGUCUGUUAUGAGCGCGUUCACAGCACAUCCGGUUCGCGAACGAAUCACUCGAUGUAACCGGAUCCUCUUGAACCAGUUCACCAAAUCGAACUGAAUCGUUUGAAACGGUUAGCGUCAACAAUAAGCAUUAAUCCACAAAUGACUUAAGCUGUUAACUUUUUUAACAUGGCUGACACUCCCUCUGAGUUCAAAUAAACCAAUAUCCCGGAGUAAUUCAUUUACUCAAACAGUAUACUGACUGAACUGAACCGGUUCUUGACUCGAGAACGAGUCAAUGUUUCGUUCGUUAUCUGGCUCGGUCAGCAGUUCACUAAACUGCAGUGUUGUGAACGUGCUCAUAACAGACCCGGAAGAGAAGUCAAUGCUGAAUAAAGUCGUAGUUUUUGAUAUUUUUGGACCAAAAUGUAUUUUCGAUGCUUCAAUAAAUUCUAACGGACCCUCUGAUGUCACAUGGACUACUUUGAAGAUGUUUUUAUUACCUUUCUGGACGUGGACAGUAUACCGUACAUACAUUCUCAAUGGAGGAACAGAAAGCUCUCGGACUAAAUCUAAAAUAUCUUAAACUGUGUUCCGAAGAUGAACGGAGGUCUCACGGGUUUGGAACGACAUGAGGGUGAGUCAUUAAUGACAUAAUUUUCAUUUUUGGGUGAACUAUCCCUUUACCAUGCAUUUAAGCAAUAUAAUUUUUAAUUAACGCCCAGUUUAAAUAUAUUAAUUCUAAAUUAUUAUAUAAACUACUUAUUUAAAAGUAAAUAUUUAAAUAUUAUUAGCAUUUUAUAAAUAUUUUAAGGAAUAUUUUAAUUUAUUUAAUAAUUUAUAUAUUUGUAUAAUAUAUCAGGGUUAUUAUAGUUAACUAAAACUAAAACAAUAAAAACAUUGUUAACUGAAUAAAAUAAAUUAUGAAAAAAAAUAUUUUAUCUAGUUGUCAAGGCAAAUUUAAUUUAGCUUAACUUGAUGUACUAAAAUAAUUCAAACUAAAACUGAAAAAAGAAUAAAAAUGAAAUAGACAUAUUUAAUUAAGACAUCAAAAACAAUACAUUUACUAAAAGUUUAUCUAAAACUAAGAACAGAAAAUCUAAAAAUAAAAAUGAAUUCAAAAUAUUAAUAAAUGUACCUCUGAUAUAUUCCUGUCCUUAAAAUUAUAGAAUUUCCUCAAAAUAACUGUCACUAUAAUAGAGUUAAAGAAGCUGAUUCGCAAGUGUACACAUUUAAGUAAAAAUAUAUACAAAAUCGUUUAUUACAUGUAUUCUGAAACGUCAAUUGUUGAAUCUUGAAUGCUAGCAUGUUCAUGACCUUAGUAACAGAGACUUCAAAUGUUGAAAUGUCCUGAUAUAAAAAAAUAACGUUUACAUUUUUACAAAAAUGUACUUUAAAAAAUGACACACUCUUCUCUGUUACCCGCAAUGACCUUCUCCAGUUCAGACAGCAUGGCACAUUAUGGCUGCAGCCAUAUUUCUUUCCCGAACAUGCUAUUUUACGAGCUAUAUGGAAAGUUUUGCAAAGUCUGCAGGCUGCUCUUGCUCUCGCUCUCCUUCUCUCUGCCUGUAAACCCAAGUACGCAUCGUGAGCAUGAGCCCUUAAUGUCUGCUCUGCAUCCUGCGGAGACCGCUGAAGCUCAGGGUGCCAACUUAUGCCAAUCCACACGGGUACGUCUGCCUGCUGCUCAUGUCAGAUAAACCCAUGUGGCUUGGCUCUGAUCUGAGUCGAGGAAGAACCGGUGCGAUAUGGUCUCUCUGUGUACACCAUCAAUGUUUGCUACUGACAGAUCCUGUUUCAGGUCUGUGAUGUUCAGAUCAGAUGACCUGCCUGAGAACAGAAUAACUAUGGGAACUAAAAAACAUAAAUGGACUCAAACUGACUCUUAUAUAAUAUGAAAGAUUCUCCAUAUGACUGGAUGUCGUGUGAGAAUAUUGAUAUCAGUCUGUGUUGACGGUGAAAAUAAUGAAAUGAUAAUGGAUAUGUUUAGUAUAGCAUACUAGCAUAUUACGUUUACUGCUGUAAUUUUUGCACACUGCAUUAAAUAAUGUAUCCCAUGUAGCAACUAAAUAGUAUUACUGUUCAGUAGUAUCUAGUUUGCAGUAUAUGAUGUUUUGUAUUUAGUAAACUAAUAUUCCAUUCUGAAUGUUUGUUUCUUCAUUGUUACAUUGCUGUAGAUAUGUGCUAUAUACAUAAGACUGAAUGUAUAUUGGUGUCCACAGCAGCUUAUCAGUCCAGCUAUUUGGCCCAGGCCGGGGUCCAUGUGAUUGAAUUACAGGGUGCAGAAAGAUUGUGGGUGAUCAGCUUGAUGCUGUGCACUGAUAGCAUUAAAUCAGCCCUUCUGCAUGGCGACACAGAGCGAAGCACUCUGGCUCUCUUUCUCUCUGCCUGUAAACCCAAAUAAGCAUUGUGAGCAUGUGCAGUCGAGCAGAAACACGUCUAAUUGAUCUGGGCCCAUUUGACUCGACUCUGCAGUUUUCAUACAAGAGUUCACAACCUUCUCACCACAGGACAAGCCCUGCCCUGCCUUAGAAUUAUCAGGGUACGGUGCCUAAAACUAAAAACACAAAUGUCGUGUGUGUGUGUGUGUGUGUAUAUAUAUAUAUAUAUACACAACAGAGUUUUUUGAAACUCCGAAUAUCAGUUAAACCAUUGCGUCGCAAAAUUAUUCACUGUUUAGAAUUGCGCCAAUUGGAUCGCGUAUCCCAAAUCAUUUGAUUCAGUUGCAUCAUUGCAUCAUU
This is a long non-coding RNA of Cyprinus carpio carpio, 3946 nucleotides long. Lineage: Eukaryota; Metazoa; Chordata; Actinopteri; Cypriniformes; Cyprinidae. The record is from Ensembl.